CCGGCACGGGUGAGUAACACGUAUGCAAUCCACCUGUAACAGGGGAUAACCCGGAGAAAUCCGGACUAAUACCCCAUAAUAUGGGCGCUCCGCAUGGAGAGCCCAUUAAAGAGAGCAAUUUUGGUUACAGACGAGCAUGCGCUCCAUUAGCAGUUGCGGGUAACGGCCCACCAAAGCGACGAUGGAUAGGGGUUCUGAGAGGAAGGUCCCCCACAUUGGAACUGAGACACGGUCCAA
This 237-nucleotide ribosomal RNA is filed under the name uncultured bacterium. RNAcentral describes it as "partial 16S ribosomal RNA". It matches the Rfam family "Bacterial small subunit ribosomal RNA", at positions 100 to 334 of the family's 1533-position model. The record is from RNAcentral.